AAUAUAUGAUCCAAGAUGCAACGCGUGAUCGCCGAUUGUCUCCCAGCAACCAAGCGCGGGAAUACAGAGUGCGCGCGCCUGGGGACCUGUGAGGGGAGAAAUGACCUGGUCUCUGGCAUCGCCCUCACUUUACAGCCUGAGAUGAUGUGAAACAUGUUGUUUGUUCCAGUCUACAUCCACAUUCUGAACUGCCCUUUUCUUAUGGGAUGUCCAUGAAAUAAAGCGUCUAAUUUUCAUCACUACACAGUGGGCACAAUCUACAGGCUAUGUCAUCACAAACAUGGCUACUCACAUCAGUGCGCUGUCCCACGUAUAGGAAGCCACAGGCUGGGUGAAAUGCUCCCGUCCCACAGGUGAACAGAGCUGGACGAUUAUGAAAAUUCCACAGAUUGAAAAACCUGCUUGAUGGAUUGAAAUCUUCUAUGCCUAGAAAUGGCCCCUCCAGGUCACCGCACCUGAGAGAUCAGAGGUCAGGCACAUUGCAGGACAGAGGAGGGGGUGAAUCUAUAGACUGAGGCGGAUGAUGCACUAUUUCCUGGGAUCAGUUUCCUCAUAAAGUGCACCUGCUGAGUAUUUACAGAACAAGAACAGGUUGCGGCAAGAAUAAGGAACAAAAAGGACUGUUUAAUUCACAAGGUGUCGUCUGUGAUGUCGAUGGGCUCAAUAUGACAAACUCCCACAAGUGUACGGAGGCAGCAAAAGGCUAUCCUUGUGCCUCUGUUCAGCUGUGCCAAACACAUGGCCACCAGCCACAAAUUCUCAGAAUGCUCUUCAUUCUGGCAUCUCUCACAACGCCCACUGACUGGCAGCAAAUAUGAUGGCAGCUUUGGACAAAUUGCUAAAUACUAAGGGGUAUUUAUAAUUUAAAGAAUCCCCAACUGUGAUGAUGGUGAAACCUUCUUUCCUCUAGACGUAGAGGAUGCCCUCUUGUCAUGGUUACCGGCAUAGAUAUUAAAUCAUGAUGUAAAAAGCUCAAUGAGUUAGAAAAUUGUUAAUAAGACAACGUCUUUAUUGUUGGUGUUGAGCUCGGACCUUUACCUGACUGUAUAUCCAGGUCAUAAAUAUACAUGUUCAUGUGUAAUUUACGUGCCCCACUGAACCCCAAGCCACAGAUCACAUACCUUGUGCUGGCGUGACGGAGAGGUCACAUAUGAAGGUUGACUGCCAUUACAGUCAGACCACACAUGCAGAUUUUUACCUUCUAGGCUCAGUUCUGAACAUUCUGGAUCCACUAUUAGUAAAAAUGUUCGAGGGGACAGUCCGUCAGGUGUCAGCAAUCCUGUUGUGAACAACACAGCACCAGUAUGUCAUUGGUGGGAAAGAAAUACACAGUAGCAAAACUAGUGACCUUUUACAUCAAGCGACAAAGCUAUUGGAGUAAGGAGAUGGGAAUAUGAGGAAAUAGGACUCAAUGGUGGUGGAAAACUCAGCUGCAUGGCAGACAGCAAAUUACAACAGAUUGUGAAAAACUGGCUUACAGAUCUCUUAAUGAAAGCUUUAUAAACGAGGGCACAAUUAUAACCAACAGGAGGCAUGUAUCUUCCAUCCCUCAAGCACCUAUACCUUAUUUAGACUACAUGGUCUGGACCGAUUUUCACCCUCACCCAUAUGUGUACAGCAAUUAUUACUGUAUAUGGUGCACAAUUUGGAACAUGUACGCUUUUUUUUUGUGGGAUUUAAAAUAGCUGUUUAACAGAUUUUAUUAUAAAAUGUUAACAUUUCACAAGUUCAAACACACAUAACAGUGAUAAGGCAAUAAAGCUAAUUGUUCACUGUGUGUCCGCUGUUUGCAUCUGAACACUGCUAUGGUGCUUGGAUCACUGAUUCUCUUGUAAAUGUGUGCUAUUCACUUCAGACAAUAAAA
Hyla sarda is the source of this 1864-nucleotide long non-coding RNA. RefSeq lists it as uncharacterized. The record is from RefSeq and is a predicted model, not a curated record. The transcript has 10 exons. Lineage: Eukaryota; Metazoa; Chordata; Amphibia; Anura; Hylidae.